UGGAUAGUAAUACUAAUGAAAUUUAACGGAUUUGGCGGCAAGAUAGCCACUUAGAGGAACCUGCCCUGUAAACGAUGAGCCACGAUUAACCUUACUUUUACUAGAAUUCAGUUUGUAUACCGCUGUUGUCAGUUAGUUUCUUUAGAAAACUUUCGUACAUGAUAAAUUCAAGGACUUCAAGUAAAGGUGCAGCUUAUGUAAAAGAUAGAGGUGGGUUACAAUUAAAAGAGUAAUAUGGAUAAAGUUAGGAAAAAACUUUUGAAGGUGGAUUUAAUAGUAAAGUUUAAUAAGACUUGAUUAGAGCUCUAUCUUGUGUACACACCGCCCGUCGCUCGCGGGA
The sequence is a ribosomal RNA, 340 nucleotides long. It matches the Rfam family "Microsporidia small subunit ribosomal RNA", at positions 752 to 1210 of the family's 1311-position model.